GACGAACGCUGGCGGCGUGCUUAACACAUGCAAGUCGAGCGGUAAGGCCCUUUCGGGGGUACACGAGCGGCGAACGGGUGAGUAACACGUGGGUGACCUGCCCUCAGCUCUGGGAUAAGCCUGGGAAACUGGGUCUAAUACUGGAUAUGACUCCACGGUGCAUGUCGUGGGGUGGAAAGCCUUGUGCGGCUGAGGAUGGGCCCGCGGCCUAUCAGCUUGUUGGUGGGGUGANGGCCUACCAAGGCGACGACGGGUAGCCGGCCUGAGAGGGCGACCGGCCACACUGGGACUGAGACACGGCUCAGACUCCUACGGGAGGCAGCAGUGGGGAAUCUUGCGCAAUGGGCGAAAGCCUGACGCAGCGACGCCGCGUGAGGGAUGACGGCCUCGG
This 391-nucleotide ribosomal RNA is filed under the name uncultured bacterium. RNAcentral describes it as "bacterial SSU rRNA". It matches the Rfam family "Bacterial small subunit ribosomal RNA", at positions 28 to 420 of the family's 1533-position model. The record is from RNAcentral.